RNAcentral lists this ribosomal RNA (441 nucleotides) under uncultured bacterium. RNAcentral describes it as "partial 16S ribosomal RNA". It matches the Rfam family "Bacterial small subunit ribosomal RNA", at positions 338 to 795 of the family's 1533-position model. The record is from RNAcentral.
CCUACGGGUGGCAGCAGUGGGGAAUAUUGCACAAUGGGGGGAACCCUGAUGCAGCGACGCCGCGUGGGUGAAGGAGUAUUUCGGUAUGUAAAGCCCUAUCAGCAGGGAAGAACAAUGACGGUACCUGACUAAGAAGUACCUGCUAAAUAGGUGCCAGCAGCCGCGGUAAUACGUAUGGUGCAAGCGUUAUCCGGAGUUACUGGGGGUAAAGGGAGCGCAGGCGGCGCGUUAAGCCUGGUGGGAAAGCCCGCGGCCGAACCGCGGUACUGCAGUUGGAACUGGCGCGCUGGAGUGACGGAGGGGUAGGCGGAAUUCGUAGUGUAGCGGUGAAAUGCGUAGAUAUUAGGAGGAACCCCAGUGGCGAAGGCGGCCUACUGGACGGUGACUGACGCUGAGGCUCGAAAGCGUGGGGAGCAAACAGGAUUAGAUACCCUUGUAGUC